Non-coding RNA from Cicer arietinum (chickpea), 518 nucleotides. Lineage: Eukaryota; Viridiplantae; Streptophyta; Magnoliopsida; Fabales; Fabaceae. The record is from RefSeq and is a predicted model, not a curated record.
AUUUAAUAUAAAACUUUAAAGUUAAAGUCAAAAUUAUCCAAGGAUCUUUGUUUUUUAGUCACCGUGAUACUGAACUCGGAUAAGUAUAUGUGGUGGGUACCCUCUAUUUUUGCAUAUUACAAUAUUAACCCCAAGAUUAGUAUUAUAUCCAACCAUCUACUCUAAAACCCCAGUCAGUUAUAACUAAAACCCUUUCCCUGAAACUUGAGUGAGGGUUCAUCUCUCAGCAAUCUGCAAAAUUAGAAACCAUCGUCGAACAACGAUGGGUUUGAUCACAAACUCUCGGAAGAAGCGCUGAUAUCCUCACGUCGCUGCUUCACCCCACAACAAAAAUGGUGCUGAGUUUAAUCGAAUGAAAGCACAACAACAUGAGAUGGAAAGACAAAGGAUUAUAUAUGAUGGAAUGUGCUUGGUGAAAAGUCAAACUGGAGAUUUUGAUCUGAAUCUCAAAACAAAGGGUACCUAUGGUUAUCACAAUGCUAUAUGGCCAAAGGAAGGGAAUUUUGGAAAUGGAAAAG